AUACUUACUUGGUGUCGGAGAUGGCUUGAUCAAGAAGGAGGCUCUCCUGGUCGGAGGAUGUCCAUUGCACAUCGGGCUACUGACGGCUAUCGCUUCCACAAAGUGUGGUUGUUUGGGGCGCGUAAUUUUUGGUAGUCGGGACUGCGUUCGCGCCGAUCCCGG
Non-coding RNA from Stegodyphus mimosarum, 162 nucleotides. Lineage: Eukaryota; Metazoa; Arthropoda; Arachnida; Araneae; Eresidae. The record is from Rfam.